RNAcentral lists this ribosomal RNA (323 nucleotides) under Borrelia sp. BF16. RNAcentral describes it as "partial 23S rRNA". The stretch from base 120 to 323 matches the Rfam family "Bacterial large subunit ribosomal RNA", at positions 1 to 211 of the family's 2925-position model. Lineage: Bacteria; Pseudomonadati; Spirochaetota; Spirochaetia; Spirochaetales; Borreliaceae. The record is from RNAcentral.
CAUUAAAAAUAAUUGUUAGUAAAAAUAAUUUAAGGGUAUUGACAUAGAAAAAGUAAAAGUAUAUAUUAAUUUAUGUUGUAUAAAAGAUUGGCAAGUUAGAGACGGAAGAUAAAAAUAUGGUCAAAGUAAUUAAGAGUCUAUGGUGGAUGCCUAGGAGCUUUAAGGCGAAGAAGGUCGUGGUAAGCUGCGAAAAGCUUGGGGGAGAAGCAAACAUUUUAUGAUCCCAAGAUUACCGAAUGGAGUAAUCCAAUUAGCUAGAUGCUAAUUAUCUACUGCGUAGGUAGUAGAGGCUAUACCAGGGGAAGUGAACCAUCUAAGUACCC